UAUAGACAGCAACACAAUUAUAGUAGGGGACUUUAACACCCCACUGUCAAUAAUGGAUAGAUCUUCCAAACAAAAAGUCAACAAGGAUAUUUUGGCAUUGAAUGACGCACUACAAAAAAUGGACUUAAGUGAUAUAUAUAGAACAUUUCACUCCAAAGAGACAAAAUACACAUUAUUUUCAA
Long non-coding RNA from Phyllostomus discolor (pale spear-nosed bat), 182 nucleotides. RefSeq lists it as uncharacterized. NCBI's taxonomy places the organism in Eukaryota, Metazoa, Chordata, Mammalia, Chiroptera, Phyllostomidae. The transcript is spliced from 3 exons. The record is from RefSeq and is a predicted model, not a curated record.